CUAAAUAUAUUGCAAGGUAUGUUUAUCAAACGCAUGCUGAUAUUGCUGUAUUUUGUUGAUAUAACAAAUAUCGCAACAUUAAAUAUACAAAAAAUUUGUUCAUAAUGAUUAGAUUUUAAUCCGCGAUGUAUAAACAUGCAAAGGGUUAAAAAAAUUACUUAGCAAUUAAAAUUCUAUGUGAUUUUGAAACUGGCACACAAAGCAGGAUGAGUUUUCUAAUCUAAACUAACCUAAACUAACCGCCUGUCACUAUAUAAGAGAAACGAGAGGACUUUCUACAGGAAAUAAACAAUGAAUUGAAUAAUUAUUGAAUAAAUAAAGGAAAAUGAAAAAAUAUCUGAUAUCAAAGAAAAAAGUUUAUCAAACUGUCACACUAUGUUUAUAAUCCAAAGAAACAUUUAUCAAUGUAACUGGUUGGAUGCAUUUCAAUAACAGGAAUUUAAUGCACUAAUAAGAUGUGACAAAGGCAAUGAAAGUACAUUAUUCCUCUUGGAAAAUAUGUAUCGUUAAUAUGUUUUUGUAUGAUUCAAGAUAUUUACAGAGAUGUCUGUUUACAUAAUUUCUGAACCAUAGUUAUAAUUCAAUUAAAUCGAGCUGAUGUAAUGACAUUCCUAUUAUUAGAUAUGUGUGCUUCUCUAUUGACAAAUAUAGAACUAUUUUCAAGUUGUUUAGCAAGUUAACGCAUAUGUAACAAAGCAAGUGUACCAUAUUUUGUUUCAUGACAUACCAUACAUUCAAAUUUAUAUAAUAAAAUAAAGAAAAAUUGGUUUGUUAAAAAAAUAUAUACAUAUAUAAGAGAAGGUAUAGAAGAUUAAUUCAAAUUUGACAUUUAAUUUAAUUUUGACAUAUUAAACAACCGUACAAGUAUAUAAGUAUUUCAUUAAAAAAUAACUGAUUAGAAUUUUUAAUACUUUUAAU
Molecule: non-coding RNA, 918 nt
Organism: Nylanderia fulva
Lineage: Eukaryota; Metazoa; Arthropoda; Insecta; Hymenoptera; Formicidae
Source: RefSeq, a predicted model, not a curated record